GUUCGUUCAGAAGUAUGUAACUGAACGUCAAGUUCAGUUUUGUAAUAAAUAUAUUGUAAUAUCAAAAUAAACAAAUAACCAUAAAAUCAAAAGUGUUAAACCCUUCUACCAACUGCUUUUACUAUUAUUAUUGAACUUUUAUUAUUCCGUUAUCUAAAACUGUUAAAAUCAUCUUUGGAAAAUGGUGUGGAGUUAUAGUUUCUAAACGUACCUACUUUGUGUCAUGUCAUUGUCAAUCAACAGCGCGCGCCGCGCUUUAAGUUUGUUUUCGCCGUUUUGAACUUAAACCUAAUAUAAUAAAUACUUUUAACUAACAAUACAAAUACUUAGAAUUGCAGCUGUAUUUGUAACCGGUCAAAGAUAACGGUCUUUCAUUAACAAAGAAAGUGCAUCACACACACUUACUAACAGGUCCAGAGAGGGAUGAAGUGGCUGCAAGGAUUUAUCCCAGUAAGUUGCCACAGCGAGCCCUGGUCUGCACAAACUGUUUGGCUCAAGCACGAGAAGAUCUUCAAAUAGAACAAGGCCAUAGUAACAUAGGUCAAGUGACAUCAUAUUAUGCAACAAUGACCUGGACAACUUCCAGCAUACUACAAAUUCCAGUGGCCGUUGUUUUGUACCGGGGUGUCAAAAUCCAGAAUGUUUUAUAGUUCCUGACUAUUUAAACGCAAGAAUAUUAAAAAGCCAAAAAAAUACUUGUUAUGGAAAAUUCAAGAAUUUGUGCGGAGCAUAAAUCUGUAUAUAAUUGGGAAUUUCUGGACCAGUACUAAUUUUCAAAAACAUUCACUAAUUUAGAAAUAUAUUUUUGAUGAGACAAGGUGUGACCUGGAAUGAAAUUAUAGUAGGAUACUACUGUAAUUGUGUUUGUAGUCUCCGUGCUGUUGGUUGCUCAUGUGAUGCCAUUGUAUGGUAUUUAGGUUGGGCUCGGCACCAAGAAAGUAUAGAAGCACCGGCACCUUUGUUGGAUGGUAUUUUAAUAAGAGAGGAUGUGGAAAACUAAUAAAUAAUUAAAUAAAGAG
Pectinophora gossypiella (pink bollworm) is the source of this 1019-nucleotide long non-coding RNA. RefSeq lists it as uncharacterized. The transcript is spliced from 2 exons. NCBI's taxonomy places the organism in Eukaryota, Metazoa, Arthropoda, Insecta, Lepidoptera, Gelechiidae. The record is from RefSeq and is a predicted model, not a curated record.